AAGCUUUCCGUGGAAGUUUCUGAGAAGGUUCUUGUAUGGGAAAGUUACAAUCUUUCCGUUAGCGCAAAGGAUAUCAAACCAAAAAAACGAGGUGAUUGGCCAAUUCAUAUUCCUUGGCGAUCAUGGUGUCACACUUAUGGAUCAUGAGGCAAUCCUGGUUGUUGCAAUAACAAGAGGAAAACAGAUUAUGUGCUGCCGGCCAUAAAGAGUGCCACAAAGCGGAAAAUAGGUGUGCCUGAUGGCUAAAAAAAGUUUGUGCAAUUUCCUCUCAACUUCAGGGUGUUGUUGGAAAGAGUGCUACUAUGUACAUACUCAGGU
Lolium rigidum is the source of this 318-nucleotide long non-coding RNA. RefSeq lists it as uncharacterized. The record is from RefSeq and is a predicted model, not a curated record. NCBI's taxonomy places the organism in Eukaryota, Viridiplantae, Streptophyta, Magnoliopsida, Poales, Poaceae. The transcript has 3 exons.